GAGCGGACAGAUGGGAGCUUGCUCCCUGAUGUUAGCGGCGGACGGGUGAGUAACACGUGGGUAACCUGCCUGUAAGACUGGGAUAACUCCGGGAAACCGGGGCUAAUACCGGAUGGUUGUUUGAACCGCAUGGUUCAAACAUAAAAGGUGGCUUCGGCUACCACUUACAGAUGGACCCGCGGCGCAUUAGCUAGUUGGUGAGGUAACGGCUCACCAAGGCAACGAUGCGUAGCCGACCUGAGAGGGUGAUCGGCCACACUGGGACUGAGACACGGCCCAGACUCCUACGGGAGGCAGCAGUAGGGAAUCUUCCGCAAUGGACGAAAGUCUGACGGAGCAACGCCGCGUGAGUGAUGAAGGUUUUCGGAUCGUAAAGCUCUGUUGUUAGGGAAGAACAAGUACCGUUCGAAUAGGGCGGUACCUUGACGGUACCUAACCAGAAAGCCACGGCUAACUACGUGCCAGCAGCCGCGGUAAUACGUAAGUGGCAAGCGUUGUCCGGAAUUAUU
Molecule: ribosomal RNA, 509 nt
Filed under: Geobacillus stearothermophilus
Lineage: Bacteria; Bacillati; Bacillota; Bacilli; Caryophanales; Anoxybacillaceae
Description: bacterial SSU rRNA
Rfam family: Bacterial small subunit ribosomal RNA
Source: RNAcentral